UAUCCGACCCCGAGCCGUCCCGCGGGACACAGGCCGGUCGCCUCGUCGCGUCAGCGCGGGAGCGCCGGGCGGUCGACGGCUCGACCCCCCCUGACGGCCCCGGGCCCCGAACCCUCCUUUCGGGAAAAUUCCGGGCGGGGCCAAAUCCGAAACCGGUUAAGUCCCUUCCGGCCGGGCGCAUCCUCCCCCGGGCGGGGCGAGGGCCCAUUCCCCCCGCGCACCCCCACCCCCCCCCGGCCCAAAAGGCUUGCGCGGGGAAAGGGCCCGCCCGAAGAAUUCCCCCCUUUC
This 288-nucleotide ribosomal RNA is filed under the name Bemisia tabaci. RNAcentral describes it as "partial internal transcribed spacer 1". The record is from RNAcentral. Lineage: Eukaryota; Metazoa; Arthropoda; Insecta; Hemiptera; Aleyrodidae.